GACGAACGCUGGCGGCGUGCUUAACACAUGCAAGUCGAACGGAAAGGCCCUGCUUUUGUGGGGUGCUCGAGUGGCGAACGGGUGAGUAACACGUGAGUAACCUGCCCUUGACUUUGGGAUAACUUCAGGAAACUGGGGCUAAUACCGGAUAGGAGCUCCUGCUGCAUGGUGGGGGAUGGAAAGUUUCGGCGGUUGGGGAUGGACUCGCGGCUUAUCAGCUUGUUGGUGGGGUAGUGGCUUACCAAGGCUUUGACGGGUAGCCGGCCGGAGAGGGUGACCGGCCACAUUGGGACUGGGAUACGGCCCAGACUCCUACGGGAGGCAGCAGUGGGGAAUAUUGCACAAUGGGCGGAAGCCUGAUGCAGCAACGCCGCGUGCGGGAUGACGGCCUUCGGGUUGUAAACCGCUUUCGCCUGUGACGAAGCGUGAGUGACGGUAAUGGGUAAAGAAGCACCGGCUAACUACGUG
RNAcentral lists this ribosomal RNA (468 nucleotides) under uncultured bacterium. Its description in RNAcentral is "partial 16S ribosomal RNA". It matches the Rfam family "Bacterial small subunit ribosomal RNA", at positions 28 to 507 of the family's 1533-position model. The record is from RNAcentral.